Molecule: ribosomal RNA, 254 nt
Filed under: uncultured bacterium
Lineage: Bacteria
Description: partial 16S ribosomal RNA
Rfam family: Bacterial small subunit ribosomal RNA
Source: RNAcentral
UACGGAGGGGGCUAGCGUUGUUCGGAAUUACUGGGCGUAAAGGGCUCGUAGGCGGCCCACUAAGUCCGACGUGAAAUCCCCAGGCUUAACUUGGGAACUGCGUCGGAUACUGGUGGGCUUGAAUCCGGGAGAGGGAUGCGGAAUUCCAGGUGUAGCGGUGAAAUGCGUAGAUAUCUGGAGGAACACCGGUGGCGAAGGCGGCAUCCUGGACCGGCAUUGACGCUGAGUGAGCGAAAGCCAGGGGAGCAAACGGG